GUGGGGAAUUUUGGACAAUGGGCGCAAGCCUGAUCCAGCAAUGCCGCGUGCAGGAAGAAGGCCUUCGGGUUGUAAACUGCUUUUGUACGGAACGAAACGGUCCUGGUUAAUACCUGGGGCUAAUGACGGUACCGUAAGAAUAAGCACCGGCUAACUACGUGCCAGCAGCCGCGGUAAUACGUAGGGUGCGAGCGUUAAUCGGAAUUACUGGGCGUAAAGCGUGCGCAGGCGGUGCUGUAAGACAGGCGUGAAAUCCCCGGGAUCAACCUGGGAAUUGCGCUGGUGACUGCAGUGCUGGAGUACUGCAGAGGGGGAUGGAAUUCCGCGUGUAGCAGUGAAAUGCGUAGAUAUGCGGAGGAACACCGAUGGCGAAGGCAGUCCCCUGGGCCUGUACUGACGCUCAUGCACGAAAGCGUGGGGAGCAAACAGGAUUAGAUACCCCUGUAGUCC
This 450-nucleotide ribosomal RNA is filed under the name uncultured bacterium. Its description in RNAcentral is "partial 16S ribosomal RNA". It matches the Rfam family "Bacterial small subunit ribosomal RNA", at positions 354 to 796 of the family's 1533-position model. The record is from RNAcentral.